RNAcentral lists this ribosomal RNA (1131 nucleotides) under uncultured Candidatus Saccharibacteria bacterium. RNAcentral's name for it is "bacterial SSU rRNA". It matches the Rfam family "Bacterial small subunit ribosomal RNA", at positions 337 to 1512 of the family's 1533-position model. Lineage: Bacteria; Candidatus Saccharimonadota. The record is from RNAcentral.
UCCUACGGGAGGCAGCAGUAGGGAAUUUUCCACAAUGGGGCAACCCUGAUGGAGCAACGCCGCGUGCAGGAUGAAGGCUUUCGGGUCGUAAACUGCUUUUAUAUGUGACGAUUAUGACGGUAGCAUAUGAAUAAGGAUCGGCUAACUCCGUGCCAGCAGCCGCGGUCAUACGGAGGAUCCAAGCGUUAUCCGGAAUUACUGGGCGUAAAGAGUUGCGUAGGCGGUUAAGUAAGUUGGUAGUGAAAGCGUGAGGCUCAACCUCAUAUCCAUUACCAAAACUACUUUGACUAGAACAUGAGAGAGGUGGCUGGAAUUCCCUGUGUAGGAGUGAAAUCCGUAGAUAUAGGGAGGAACACCGAUGGCGUAGGCAGGCCACUGGCUCAUUGUUGACGCUAAGGCACGAAAGCGUGGGGAGCGACCGGGAUUAGAUACCCCGUUAGUCCACGCCGUAAACUAUGGAUGCUAGCUGUUAGGAGUAUCGACCCUUCUAGUAGCGAAGCUAACGCGUUAAGCAUCCCGCCUGUGGAGUACGAGCGCAAGCUUAAAACAUAAAGGAAUUGACGGGGACCCGCACAAGCGGUGGAGCGUGUUGUUUAAUUCGAUGGUAAGCGAAGAACCUUACCAGGGUUUGACAUCCUACUAAUCUUGCCGAAAGGCGAGAGUGUCUUCGGACCGUAGUGACAGGUGAUGCAUGGCCGUCGUCAGCUCGUGUCGUGAGAUGUUUGGUUAAGUCCAUCAACGAGCGCAACCCUUAUAGUCUGUUGUAUUUUUCAGGCUAGACUGCCCCGGUAACGGGGAGGAAGGAGGGGAUGAUGUCAGGUCAGUAUUACCCUUACAUCUGGGGCUACAAACACGCUACAAUGGCCGGUACAAAGGGCAGCCAAGUCGCGAGACGGAGCAAAUCCCAUCAAAGCCGGUCUCAGUUCGGAUAGCAGGCUGAAACUCGCCUGCUUGAAGUCGGAAUCGCUAGUAACGGUAGGUCAGCACACUACCGUGAAUACGUUCCCGGGUCUUGUACACACCGCCCGUCAAACCAUGAAAGUCACCAAUACCUGACGUCUUAGCAAGCCUAGGCCUAAGGUAGGGGAGAUGAUUGGGGUUAAGUCGUAACAAGGUAUCCGUACCGGAAGG